This 305-nucleotide ribosomal RNA is filed under the name uncultured bacterium. RNAcentral's name for it is "bacterial SSU rRNA". It matches the Rfam family "Bacterial small subunit ribosomal RNA", at positions 334 to 655 of the family's 1533-position model. The record is from RNAcentral.
ACUACCUACGGGGCGCAGCAGUGGGGAAUAUUGGGCAAUGGACGCAAGUCUGACCCAGCAACGCCGCGUGAUGGAAGAAGGCUUUCGGGUUGUAAACUUCUUUUAAGGGGGAAGAGCAGAAGACGGUACCCCUUGAAUAAGCCACGGCUAACUACGUGCCAGCAGCCGCGGUAAUACGUAGGUGGCAAGCAUUGUCCGGAUUUAUUGGGUUUAAAGGGUGCGUAGGCGGAAUAUCAAGUCAGCGGUGAAAAUUCGGGGCUCAACCCCGUCGUGCCGUUGAAACUGAUGUUCUUGAGUGGGCGAGA